AUCAAAACUAAAAGCUUACGGUGCAUUUUGCCAAUAUCCUGCUUCUCUGUUCGGGGCGACCUAACAGAUAUUGACUUUGGUGUUAUCUUCCAUUAAAAUUUUAGAAAUUAGCUUAUUUUAAUCCGUUAGCCUAAUUAUGAUCAAAUGACGGCAUUUUGAAGACAAGUUAAAUUAAAUAAUCUUUAGAGAAGACUAUGAAUUGAUUUGCCUCUGUACUGUUAAGAUUUUAGAGAUAUGUUCAGACCUGACUGAAUAUUGCAAGACCAUUCUGAGAGGACUUUUGUCAAAGACCUCCAUCGUUGAUUCAUGAUAUCAUUUGGUUUGCCUAGUGUUUAGUAUCAUAGUAAUAAAAUAGAGAGACAAUAGUGACAAUGGACCACAUUGUUAUGUAAAAGAAUAGGGCUGUUUUCCUUUGAAAAAAGAACGCCCUUGCUGAAUUGAGAAACUUUAAUAAUAGCAUGGUACUAAUGUUCACUGCAGAAAUUCUAGAACAACUGAAAAAACACCAAGGUAGAUUUUUAUGAACUUGCAGGUGAUAGAGUUGUUCCUUGGUUCUGGCACUAAUAACUCAGGCAUUUUGGAAGUGAAUGCCAAAAACAACAUUGGCCCUACUGCCCAGGCCCUUGAUAUGGUAUUAGUUUUCCC
This 645-nucleotide unclassified non-coding RNA is filed under the name Hevea brasiliensis (rubber tree). Lineage: Eukaryota; Viridiplantae; Streptophyta; Magnoliopsida; Malpighiales; Euphorbiaceae. The record is from RNAcentral.